This 486-nucleotide long non-coding RNA is filed under the name Felis catus (domestic cat). Its description in RNAcentral is "lncRNA (ENSFCAG00000041638.2)". The record is from RNAcentral. Lineage: Eukaryota; Metazoa; Chordata; Mammalia; Carnivora; Felidae.
GCCCGGCCACUACCGGCCGCCCGCGAGGGCUCUGCGCGGCCGCUCGGCGCGCGCGCUCCGGCGGGGAGCAGGCGACAACUAAUGGAGACAUUUCCAGGCGGAGCACCUGGCGAGCGGAGCGCGCCGGCGUCCCCAGGCGCCGCGGUCGUCAGCCGAGCCCGCACCGGCGUGACGUGGGCGAGCGAGCGCGCUGCUCCCACCCGGCCGCCCAUUAACGCUUUCCCCCGCGGGCGCCGCGCGCUCGCCAACUUUCCCCUCCGCCUGGCCCGCGCCCUGGCUCCGGCAACUGCUGGGGGACAGUGCUCAUUUGCCUUCUCCGACAACGGCACGCUGGGCGGUGUUUGUCUCCGGGCCUCUCGUGUGCCUCUGUUUCCUCCACGGAGCAGGAGAGCCAGCAGUCCCGGCUUCCCGGCCCUGCUGCCGAGCCCAGAGCUUCCGCUGGCUUCUCUGGGAAGGACACAGCUUUGCGCCCUGAUGGGGAGAUAG